CACUGGAAUAUGAUGCUUAGGAAUUGAAGCAAAUAAGUGCUGAAAACAAAUGUGAUCCCCAAUCUCUCAUAUUUAAAAAAUCCGUGUUCUUAAAUUGAAUGUUGAUUUCCUGUAGUGAGGAAAACUUAUUUUUUCUUUUACUAUCUAAAAUAUAGGUAGAUCUUUGCAUACUGGUUCUGGCACUGUCUCACACAGGAGUUUCCAAUAACUGCCAGUCAUAUGGUGACAAUUAUGCUUGAUUAAGCAAAUCCAGUAAGUACUUGAUCGACUUUUUCCCAUAAAUGCUGACAUUCUGCCGCCAAAGGGAAAAAGAACACUUGCCAUUUUUCUAAGCACUCUGGCUAUCUCCCCUUGUCCCUACCAACAAUACGAGGCUCUGAGUUUCCUACAAACAAUGUUCCCAGAUUCUCAGACUCAGCCAGAUUCUAGGGUUUCUAUCAAACAUCUCCUUGAGUAAUUCGAAUUUUUGAGGUCUGAAAAUCCUACAAGCAGACAGAUGAUAAUUUGUGAGAUUUGCAGAGAUGCAUGGCAAAGGGUCAUUGUUACUAGUGGUCAUUCUAUCCCUGAUAAUUCAUUGUUAUGGAUUCUAAAGUCUUUAAAAUGUUCCAGAAUUCUCUAAAAAUACAUGGGAAAGAGUACUUUGAAAAUUAUAAAUGUAUGCUAUUAUGAGAAUUCCUACCUUAGACUAUUAUACUUUCAAACAUAGAAUAUUAAGAAAAUAAAAUUUAAUUUUAGGAGUCCCCAUCAUGGCUCAGCAAGUUAAGAACCAAACUAGUAUCCACGAGGAUGUGGGUUUGAUCCCUGGCCUCCCUCAGUGGGUUAAGGACCUGGCAUUGCCGUGAAUGCAGUGUAGGUCUCAGACAUGACUUAGAUCAGGUGUGGCUGUGGCUGUGGUGUAGACCUGCAGCUGCAGCUCCAAUUUGACCCCUAGUUUGUGAACUUCCAUAUGCUCUAGGUUUGACCCUUAAAAAAAAUUAUGUGGCACUCAUAACAUGGGUCAAGCAGCAUUUCUGAGUGGCUCUCUCCAAAUAUGACUCAGGGAUUUAGAUUUUUUUUUUUUUUUUUUUUUUUUUUGCUGUGGUAUCCACAGUUCAGAGUUCCAGAAUUCAGAGUUUCUUGCUUCCAGGUACAUAAGGAGGUGGGGGAAGCACAGGAAAGAGUAAAGAAAAACUAGUGAACAGAGGUCAUGCACCUCAAAGAAGAUCAUAUUGGCCCUGACUUUGCCCAGAACUAGUCACAUGGACUGAACCAAAUGCAAGAGGGCUUAUAAUACGCUCAGAAGGCUAAUAGACACAGUUUGAUGAACAGACAGCAUUUUCUCUGCCUCAUAGAUUGAGUAAGGCUGACUAGAGCAGAGAAAAGCAAAAUUGAGUUAAGCACAAAAAACUUUGAUCAUAAUAGAAUUUUAAUGGGUGCCCAACAAUGCUUUCAUAGUUAAUUAGGCCUGUGCAAAGAAUAUAUGAUCAUAAUAUGACUUUUAGUUAGGUUAUUUUCCUUUUUGCAAUCUAUAGUAUGGUCCUUGGGAGAAUGUAAAUGAGGACUAUUGAUAAGGAAUACCGAAAAUCAGGGUUGGCUUUAUGGGCAUGUAACAUUGUGUUGUUACACAGGGCUCCGCUCUCACAAAAGCCCCACAUCCAGGUUAAUGCUCUGUUAUUGCUGUCUUAAAAUUCUUAAUAAUUUCAAACAAAGGGCCUGGUAUUUUCAUUUUGCACUGGGCUAUUAUUCUAAGCACUCUGGGCAUCUCCAGUUUUGUAGUUGGUCCUACCUGAAACUCAUGUCUUAUCAGAGACUAAAACUGGGCUCAAUGAUAAAAUGAAGAUACAAUCUUUAGGAUGCAAUCAAUGCUAAUUGACCUUUUAAAGAUGACAAGUUACAAUAGCAAAGAUGUGUGUGUGUUUGUAUGUGUGUGCGUGCGCAUGCGUGUGCACCCCUGCACACAUGAAUGUGUGCCCAAUGCAGGAUGUGGUUUUUUUAGGACAAAGUUUAUUGGGAGCAAUUUGUUUUAAUUGAUAUUCAUUGAGCAUCAUUCUGUUGUUUGUAGUUAGCUACUCAUGUGAAGAGUUGGUUGAUGUCUAUAACACAAACAUUUGUUUCAGAUAAAUGGGCGUUUCAGUUGGGUAGGUUUUAAUUAAGCAACGUUUGUUGUACAAGUAGUUGUUUUUGAAAUCAUGAAAAAACUACUAUAAUUUACUAAUUCUGUUAUCUAGAAUCUGAAAAGGUAGAAUAUUGUCUCCUAUAACCUUGAAUAUGAUUUUGAUGAUGAAUGACCCAAGUAUUUGGCAGCAAAAUAAGGACUACAAAACUUUUCCAAUGUAAUAUGUUAAAUUAUUUUUCUACUGCCUAUACCUAGGCACUGGUUGACUCUUCUCAAGCUCAUAGAACCCUUGAUUCUGAAAUGAAUGAUUUAAUUUUAAAUCCUGAUUCAUACUGCUUGCCUAUAUCGCUAUUCUAGCAUAUCAUAUUUCAUAAGGAUUUAUUUAUUUAUAGAUUUGCCAGAGGAGCACCCUGAACUCUUAACUCUUUGAGAAUAGGUGCUCUUGUCAUUCAUCUUGCUAUUCCCAGAGCUGAGUAGAGUUUCCAUACACCUUUAAUACAUUCAAUAAAUACUUAAUGAAGGAAUGAAGAAAUAAAUAUUGUGAUAAAAAUAUCAUUUUCCUUUCAGCAAAAUAAAUAUUUCCAAGUCUUAAAAGAAGCUUCUGGUUUUAAUAAAACCAAAAUCAAGAUGUUUUUGUUUUUCAAGAACAUUUUAUUUUGUUUUAUUAUGAUUUUUUUUUCCAUUAUAGCUGGUUUACAGUGUUCUGUCAAUUUUCCACUGCACAGCAUGGUGACCCAGUUACACAUACAUGUACACAUCCUAUUUUCUCACAUAAUCAUGCUCCAUCAUAAGUGACUAGACAGAGUUCCCAGUGCAACACAGCAGGAUCUCAUUGUUAAUCCAUUCCAAAGGCAAUAGUCUGCAUCUAUUAACCACAAGCACCCCAUCCAUCCCAUUCCCUCCCCUUCCAUCUUGCAACCACAAGUCUAUUCUCCAAGUCCAUGAUUUCUUUUCUGUGGAAAGGUUCACUUGUGCCAUAUAUUAUAUUCCAGAUACAAGUGAUAUCAUAUGGUAUUUGUCUUUCUCUUUCUGACUUACUUCACUCAGUAUGAGAGUCUCUAGUUCCAUCCACGUUGCUGCAAAUGGCAUUAUUUUCUUGUUAUGGCUGAGUAGUAUUCCAUUGUGCAUAUAUACCACAUCUUCCUAAUCCAAUCAACUGUUGACAGACAUUUAGAUUGUUUUCAUGUCUGGGCUAUUGUGAAUAGUGCUGCAUUGAACAUGUGGGUACAUGCGUCUUUUUCAAGGAAAUUUUUGUCUAGAUAUAUGCCCAAGAGUGGGAUUGCUGGGUCAUACGGUAGUUCUAUGUAUAAUUUUCUAAGGUACCUCCAUUCUGUUCUCUGUAGUGGUUGUACCAGCUCACAUUCCUACCAACACAUCUUAAGGGUAAAAAAUAGCAUAUACUUAACUGUCAUAUUCAGGAACUUAUUAUUUAUUGAAGGAGAUUUUUGUCCUGUUUAAAAAAAAUGGUUUGCUUGAACAUAUUCACAUAACAUAUGUCCAAGUAAAGAAGAAUAAUAUACAUAGUUUUCAAAGCAUAUGUAUGUUGAUGUACUUUUGUAUUAAACUUUCUGCUAAUAAUAUACUUGUUCCCAUGGUGUACUAGAUGAACAUGAAUAGGGGUCACUAUCCUUUUGUUUAAGGCUGAGCAUGGUUUAUUUACUAUAUUAGUUUCCUGUGGCUCUAACACAAACCCUGUGGCUUAAAAUAACAGAAAUUUAUUCUUGGAGUUCUGGAAAUCAGAGGUUCAGGACCAGUAUCACUGGGCCAAAAAAGCAUGUCUGCACAGUCACACUUCCUUUGAGGGACUAGAGGUAAAUCCAUUCCUUGACUCUUCCCGUUUCUUGUAGCUGCUAGCAUUCCUUAUCUUAAUGAAUACAUCAUUUCAGUUGUCAAAGCCAGCAUCUUCAAAUCUGUGUUCUGUUAUCACAUUGCCUUCUCUUCCUUCUGUGUCAGAUCUGCUCUUUCUUCUCUCUUAUAAGGACACUUGUGAUUGCAUUUAGAGACUACCCAUAUAAUCCACGGUAAACUCCCUAUCUUCAGAUCCUUAAUCACAUUUGCAAAGAUUCUGUUCCCAAAAAAGGUAACAUUUGUGAGUUUCCAUGGAUUAAGAACUUCUGUCUUUGGGGGCAAUAAAUCUUCUGAUAUAUUUGCCCUGUUCACUUUUGCAUUAGUGACUGUGUGGUGGGAUUCUAAGUGAUGUAUAACAGUGUGCUUUUCUCUAUGUUCACUGACACCGGAAUGAGGGUGCUGUAAAAUAAGUGAAUGCUGGAGAUCUAUAAACUAAAUAAGACUUUAAGAGAAAUGCCAUCUAAAGAAGAAGGCUUUGGCAAGUAGAGCUCAGAGAGGGAGCUCAUAACUUCAUGGUAAUACCUCACAUAAAUUAAAGUAAUGUUAAUUGUCUCCCCCAAAGCAAGGCCAUUAAGCAGCUUACUGCUCCUACUUUUAGGAUUUAUUUUGGUAGUUCUUGUGGUCCUACCUUUCCAAUGGUAUUUUACUUUUUACCCAGAAGGGAUAUAAACACCUCCUUGACAGUCCUUUCUGGUAUAUUUCAUCUCUAAGUAUAACAAGAGGAGGAAAUAAAUGACCAAAUAGGUACUGAUAAGCUCUGCAGAAAUCAAAGAUGAAAGUCUCUAGAAAGAUGUCAUCAUAUGGAGUUUCAUUUGAAACACAGUUCCUAAUAAGUGGAAAGAAAAAAUCUGAAUACAUUCCCUAGUUAUGAACAGCUAAACUGUCAGUGACCUUGUCACUAACCAGGGAGGAAUGUUAUAUUUCCUUUUUUUUUUCCACUGUGUUGAGGUAAGACCCUCUGAACCAUGAAAACAGAUGUCUCAUUUCUUUAAAAUAUUUAUACUCAUCUCCUACUAUGUGCCAAAUAUUAUGUGCAAAGCUCUGACUCAUACAAUUGCUUUCUUUCUUCCUGCCAAUGGCUUUCCAUGUAAUUUUUAAGUCCUCAAAAAUUUGCGAAGUUCUAUGGUUGGUCAUUUACAACUGAACCAAGGUCACGAAAAGACAGCUUAGUUGUGGGGGUGGUGAGAAAGGGGAAAAAAAAAAAAA
RNAcentral lists this long non-coding RNA (5149 nucleotides) under Sus scrofa (pig). RNAcentral's name for it is "lncRNA (ENSSSCG00175014036.1)". Lineage: Eukaryota; Metazoa; Chordata; Mammalia; Artiodactyla; Suidae. The record is from RNAcentral.